AUUGUUGAGUUUUAUUCUGUUUGCGUUUCUGUUUGUUUUUGUCAUGGAUCUGGCUGAUUGGAGGCUGUGAUGACCAAAAAAUACCUACCUAUUUUCUGAGGGAUUCCAGUCCUUCUGAUUGAUAGAAACCAAUGGAUCCUUCUGAGCCUGCCAAGAUCUUCAGAUUCUUAGUUUUGUAUUCGGCUUUUUCGAUUUGUCUUCGUAUAUUGCAUUCUUCUAAAAGCAAGCAAGAUUCGUAACAGUUGAUGGGAUGAUAACCUUUCACAGAAACUGUAUGUGUUGACCCAAAAUUCAGACUACAAUUAUCUGAUCAACUCAGACAUCUUGCUAAAGGGGGUUUCUUUUUUUCUGCUUUCAAAUCAAGAACAUUUUUUUUUGCCUAUCUUCUUUGCAAAGAACACUUUGAUUAGAUGUAAACUGUGCACAAUAAGCCGAUGCUCUGGAUGAGAAGAGGAAGGAAGCAUGGUAGUGUGUACAGAGAUGGAUUGAUUUUGUUGGUCUGCAUGUCUGCCUGCGGUGAUGCCUUCGGGCUUUGAUCUCGCGGGCCUGGAUUUGACCCACAC
This 563-nucleotide small RNA is filed under the name Oryza sativa Japonica Group (Japanese rice). Lineage: Eukaryota; Viridiplantae; Streptophyta; Magnoliopsida; Poales; Poaceae. The record is from RNAcentral.